ACAUCCAGAGAAUUUAGCAGAGAUGCUUAGUGCCUUCGGGAACUCUGAGACAGGUGCUGCAUGGCUGUCGUCAGCUCGUGUUGUGAAAUGUUGGGUUAAGUCCCGCAACGAGCGCAACCCUUUAUCCUUUGUUGCCAGCACGUAAUGGUGGGAACUCAAAGGAGACUGCCGGUGAUAAACCGGAGGAAGGUGGGGAUGACGUCAAGUCAUCAUGGCCCUUACGAGUAGGGCUACACACGUGCUACAAUGGCGCAUACAAAGAGAAGCGACCUCGCGAGAGCAAGCGGACCUCAUAAAGUGCGUCGUAGUCCGGAUUGGAGUCUGCAACUCGACUCCAUGAAGUCGGAAUCGCUAGUAAUCGUAAAUCAGAAUGUUACGGUGAAUACGUUCCCGGGCCUUGUACACACCGCCCGUCACACCAUGGGAGUGGGUUGCAAAAGAAGUAGAUAGCUUAACCUUCGGGAGGGGCGUUUACCACUUUGUGAUUCAUGACUGGGGUGAAGUCGUAACAAGGUAGGCGUAGUGCU
This 527-nucleotide ribosomal RNA is filed under the name uncultured bacterium. RNAcentral describes it as "bacterial SSU rRNA". It matches the Rfam family "Bacterial small subunit ribosomal RNA", at positions 984 to 1509 of the family's 1533-position model. The record is from RNAcentral.